RNAcentral lists this ribosomal RNA (422 nucleotides) under uncultured bacterium. RNAcentral's name for it is "bacterial SSU rRNA". It matches the Rfam family "Bacterial small subunit ribosomal RNA", at positions 382 to 793 of the family's 1533-position model. The record is from RNAcentral.
CCUGAUGCAGCCAUGCCGCGUGUGUGAAGAAGGCCUUCGGGUUGUAAAGCACUUUCAGUCGUGAGGAAGGUAGUGUAGUUAACACCUGCACUAUUUGACGUUACCUACAGAAGAAGCACCGGCUAACUCCGUGCCAGCAGCCGCGGUAAUACGGAGGGUGCGAGCGUUAAUCGGAAUUACUGGGCGUAAAGCGCAUGCAGGCGGCCUGUUAAGUCAGAUGUGAAAGACCCGGGGCUUAACCUCGGAAUUGCAUUUGAAACUGGCAGGCUAGAGUCUUGUAGAGGGGGGUAGGAAUUUCAGGUGUAGCGGUGAAAUGCGUAGAGAUCUGAAGGAAUACCAGUGGCGAAGGCGGCCCCCUGGACAAAGACUGACGCUCAGAUGCGAAAGCGUGGGGAGCAAACAGGAUUAGAUACCCCUGGUAG